UGUUCAUCUCAAUUCCAGACAGUGCAAAAUGCUCAGAUAUGUAAGUUCAUCUGAAGUUGCAGGAAGUCACAGCAAGAAAUCUUUUGAGAACUCAGUUGUGUCUCUUUAGUAAAGCUCAGAAGCUAGGAUCCAAAGACUUGGCUGAGUACCAUGUGCUCAAUGGGCAUUUUGGACUUACAUCAGUCUUAAGAGCAGUCACAUUAUAUAUUAAAACUGAGGGCGAUUUCAAAUGACACAUGAGAUAUAGAAUCAUAGAAUCUUUGAGUUGGAAGGGACUCCAAAGGUCAUCUUGUACAACCACUGCAAUGCAGGAAUCUCAGCUAAAACAUCCAUGACAGAUGGCCAUCCAACCUCGGUUUAAAAACCUCCAAGGAAGGAGAGUCCACCACUUCUUGUGGGAGUCUGUUCCACUGCCAAGCAGCUCUUACUGUCAGGAAGUUUUUCCGAAUGUUUAGUUGGAAUUUUCUUUCUUGUAACUUGAAGCCAUUGGUCCUGCCCUCCACAGCAGGAGGAAAGAAGCAUGCUCUCUCUUCCAUGUGACAGCCCUUAAGAUAUUUGAAGGUGGCUAUCACAUCUCCUCUUGGUCUCCUCUUUUCUAGGCUAAACAUACCCAGCUUCUUCAAGCGCUCCCCAUAAGGCUUAGUUUCCAGACACUUGAUCAUCUUGGUCGCCCUUCUCUGUACACAUUCCAGCUUGUCAACACCCUUCUUAAAUUGUGGUGCCGAGAAAUGGACGCAGUAUUCCAAGUAUGGUCUGACUAAGGCAGAAUAUAGUGGUACUAUUACUUCCCUUGAUCUGGACACUUUACUUCCUACAUUUUACCAACCAGCUUCCUUGCAAGAAUAUAAUGGGGGACUUUGUCAAAAGCCUUACUGAAAUCAAGAUACACUAUGUCCACAGCAUUUCCCUGAUUCACCAAGUUUGUAAUUCCACCCAGAAAAGAAAUCCGCUUGGUCUGGCAUGACUUAUUUUUGAGAAACCCAUGCUGGGUCUUAGUAAUCACAGCAUCCUUUUCUAAACGUUCACAUACCGACUGUUGAAUUAUCUGUUCUAGGACCUUCCCUGGCAUUGAUGUCAAGCUCACCAGUCACCUCCAGUCUGUAGGGAUCUCACCUGUUUUCCAAAAAUUCUCAAAGAUAAAAGACAAAGGCUCUGAAAUUACAUCUGCAAGCUCCUUUAGUACCCUUGGAAGCAGCUCAUCAGGCCCUGAAGAUUUGAAUUCAUUUAAAGUAGCUAGGUGUUCCCCUUACUACCUCUUUUCUUAUCUUGGGCUGCAGCUCCCUCCUUACAUCAUUUAUUCUGUUACCACCAGGUUGGGCAUCACUUUCCUUUGGGGUGAAGACAGGGACAAAGUAGGUGUUGAGUAGUUCCACCUUUUCUAUGUCACCCAAUAGCAUUUCUCCAUCUUCCCCACACAGAGGACCUACCACUUGCUUGUUCUUCCUUUUACUUUAGACAAAGCUGAAUAAACCUUUUUUAAAAAAUAAAUAAAAAAAAUUAACCUCUCUUGCAAGCCUGAACUCAUUCUGAGCUUUAGCCAGCCUGACUUUCCCCCUGCAACUGUUGGCUACUCAUGCUUACUUCUCCUUUGUGCAAUGGGACAGGGUCUGACAUUUGUCCUGCAGCCACCACCAACUUCUACACCUGGAAUGAAGACACAGGGCAUCACACCUGGAUUUAAAUAAAAUAUGGAUUUAAACAAGCUGCAAGCUGCAAAGGGCAAGGUCCAAACUCUGCCACAAUCUCCAUAACAAUGCCUUCAUCUAAAGUGAGCACUAAGAAGUUCUGCCUCAGAGGCAACUCCACCCUGUCUGUAGAGGCUUCCUUAAUGUUUUCUAUGCAGUUCCUUCAUUCAGCCAGAGCUGGAUGGAGGUGCAGAGGCUGAAUACCUUGCCUGACACCACUCCACAGUCAAGAGCCUAGAGACAAGACAGAACAUCACACAGCCUGAAAGGCCUACAUCAAAGGGCUCAACCCCUUCCAGCAGAAGCAUGACAGCAAGGAUACCCAACGCAGUAGGAGCUGUUGAAACUCAGACAGCUUCCAGGACAGGAUGCCAAAAGCAGGUCUCAGAGUACUAAGCCUGGAUUUUAUUAACACUAUUGAGAUAUGAGUUCCAAUACAAAAUUGUGCUCUUGGAGAAGUUAAAAUUCUGACACAAAGCACAGCUACAGGUGUGUUGAAUAAAGCCCCAUUUUAAAAAGGGACAGCGGUUAAUUCAGUAGGCUGUUGCAUAUGAACAAAUGCUUAAUGCUAGUGCCUUUUUGCUAUCUGCUUUCUAGGAAUCAAAAGCCUACGACUGAGCCCUAGUUCCAGCACAAAUACACUUUGCCCUCUCUAUAUUCUUGAAAAGCUUUGUGCUCAAAGUGUGUCCAACUGAUCUGUAAUGGCCAUCAUCUGACAAUCAGUUCAUUUGCACCAGGCUAAGUAGGGGACAAGUGUGCUGGAACAAAAGUCAUUGUAUUAGGAUGAAUUUAGGGAACUUUAGCGGGGGGAGGAAAUAACUCUACACAGCCAUUGACAGACUAAGGACAGAAGGCUUGACAAUAGCCAUGGUGAAUCACACGAAACAAAGACAGAGAGACUCCUCAAAUGCCCUUUGGUCUUUUGAACUAUCACAUUAUUUUUAAGUCUUUAUUUAGGACAGCUGGAUCCUCUCUAUUUUUUGAGGGUCAAGAUAUUUCUUUUGUAAAUUUUAGUAUAUCCUUAAAGGAAAAGAAAUAGAACAAAAAUGCACUCAUCCAAAUGUCUUUCCGCCAGUCACCUUGACUUGUUUACAGAAUGGCACUGAGAUGGUGGCAAUCUGCCUUUCUUCAGUUUUUGAUUUUUUAUUUGUGUGUGGGUAUAUAAGCAGCUUACCAAUUGUUUUCAGCUCCUGGUGCUUCUCCUCCUUUCAGGCUACUGCUGUGCCCAAAGAGCUGUGCAACUUAGUUAGACCACUACACAAAAUGAAAUCCUGAAAUCAUGUUUCUGUUUUGUGCAGAGUUACAAUUGAAGCCACUCUCCAUUCCCACACGUCAGAGAUGAACACUGCCAAAUAGUGCAGGUGUCAAUUCUAAGAUUGAUCUUUGAGCUUUUCUUAACUGAAACAGGAAAGCAUGUGGAAUGAAUCAUUGGGUCAAAUCUACAAACCGUAGCCAACCACACCCUAAGCCACCAUCCGCUCUCACAACCAAGGAAAUCCAAGUGAAUAGUAAGAGAACCCAUACAAGUAAUGCUGACACAAACUCCCCCCUCACUAAGUAGAAGAAUAGAAGCAUAACCACCUGACCCCACCCCACUCACCAUUCCCCCUCUCCUUCCUUCCUUCCUUCCUUCCUUCCUUCCUUCCUUCCUUCCUUUCUUUUUCUUUCUUCUUAACUGUUUAAACCAAUUCAUGAACCAAGAACCUGUACAUUGACCACUAAUAAUGAAACAUAUGUUGUAGAUAUUUUUCCACAUUCAUUAU
Non-coding RNA from Podarcis lilfordi (Lilford's wall lizard), 3448 nucleotides. NCBI's taxonomy places the organism in Eukaryota, Metazoa, Chordata, Lepidosauria, Squamata, Lacertidae. The record is from the annotation of a GenBank genome assembly.